RNAcentral lists this ribosomal RNA (371 nucleotides) under uncultured bacterium. RNAcentral's name for it is "bacterial SSU rRNA". It matches the Rfam family "Bacterial small subunit ribosomal RNA", at positions 525 to 896 of the family's 1533-position model. The record is from RNAcentral.
ACAGGGGGUGCAAGCGUUGUUCGGAAUCACUGGGCGUAAAGGGAGCGUAGGCGGAUCUACAAGACAGAGGUUAAAUGUUCGGGCUCAACCUGAAACCUGCCUUUGUGACUGUGGAUCUUGAGUAUGGCAGAGGCUAGUGGAAUUACCUGUGUAGCGGUGGAAUGCGUAGAUAUAGGUAAGAACACCAGAGGCGAAGGCGACUAGCUGGGCCAAUACUGACGCUGAGGCUCGAAAGUGUGGGGAGCAAACAGGAUUAGAUACCCUGGUAGUCCACACCGUAAACGAUGAACACUAGAUGCUGGGGAGUUUGUUCUUCGGUGUCGCCGCUAACGCAAUAAGUGUUCCGCCUGGGGAGUACGCUCGCAAGGGUG